Long non-coding RNA from Heterocephalus glaber (naked mole-rat), 470 nucleotides. The record is from Ensembl. NCBI's taxonomy places the organism in Eukaryota, Metazoa, Chordata, Mammalia, Rodentia, Bathyergidae.
GGCAGAUUUGCGAACUUCUUCCAAGAGAAAGAAAGAAGAUGAUCAUCAAGUGAGACUGAACCACGUGCCCACCACAAAACCCCAGAGGCAGUUGCCGGUGGUCAUUCCGCGUGCCUCCUUCCUAACGCCCUAUUUCAACUGGCUCUGCUCCCCGCAAAUACUCUACCAACGCCCUCCAGUAGCACGCCCAGGCCUGCUGCAACUGCUUUCUACCUCAAGCGGUGGCUGCCCUGAAAUGCUUUACUUUCGAUUUUCACCGUGUCGCUGCUGUUCUGUUCAAGAUUAUACGUAAUGGAAGCAGAAUAGUUUGGGGAAAGAUCUGGAGUUGAGAGCCUGAGUGUCUGGCUUAAACCCUUGCUCUGUAACCUGGGACAAAUACUUAUCCAAAAGAUGAAGGUAACCACACUGAUGAGGAAAAAGAAUAAAGUUUCUGAAGUGCUUAAACACACUCAGGAUUGCCUAAGUUUUAU